Long non-coding RNA from Zootoca vivipara (common lizard), 665 nucleotides. RefSeq lists it as uncharacterized. The record is from RefSeq and is a predicted model, not a curated record. NCBI's taxonomy places the organism in Eukaryota, Metazoa, Chordata, Lepidosauria, Squamata, Lacertidae.
AUUUUCCUGGAAGAAGAAAAUAGGCACCAAUUAUCUGAUAGAGCAAAGUGCAUAAAAUAGCAAUGCAUAUACAAACUAGUACAUGCAGUGUCUCUUCAGCAAUCUAUAUCGUAGUUCUAAGCUCCAAUCAAUAAAGUAUUUUUUUCCACAACGUACAAUCCUGUAACAUUUGGUUUCUCUUCCACUGAAGCGUUCCUGAUUAUCUGGACCCAUUUCAUCUGAGUCCAAGCAUGGUUUGGGGGAUGAAUCAACCUUGAUUGCCCUGCUGAAAUGUGACACAGGAGUGUGGCCAUGUCACUUUUACUCGACAUCUCAGCAGCUUGGUAUCUUAUGUCCCAGAGUGGGUUACAACAAUUUAAAAUUUAUAAUUAAAAAUAGUUACAACAGAGUACAGUCUCAGGAAUAGGAUAAGCCUUGAAAACGCACAUCCCAGGUACCUAAAGAGGUCUGUCUUCAGCAUUCACCAAAAGCUGUACAGUGAAGAUGCCAGACACAUCCAGGGCCGGAAUUAGGUUUGAUGAGGCCCUAAACUACUGAAGCCUUACCCAUCUCUUGUUGCAGAAUCGAGGAGUUGGGAGUGGACAUAGAUCUUUCUCACGUUCACAGACCUCGAGUGAGACAUACUAACAGCUGCCGCCGCUUCUACUCUUGUCUCUUCAACCCCC